Molecule: long non-coding RNA, 6205 nt
Organism: Oncorhynchus keta (chum salmon)
Lineage: Eukaryota; Metazoa; Chordata; Actinopteri; Salmoniformes; Salmonidae
Exons: 2
Source: RefSeq, a predicted model, not a curated record
CAAGCCCUUUACAAACUCAGACUCUUUGUAUUAGGAACUUAACCAGGUAACAUCAUUACCACUUCGGGGCCCCUUGUCGAUGGACAUCACCCGAAACCUCUACCUCUGAUGUCUUCCUUCUACAUCAACUGAUCAACUGAUCUCCUGAAUCUCGGAGGCCUCUGCCUUUUGAAUCUGACCCAGUAAUGGAAGAAAUCAUUCAUCGUUCAGCAAGAGGAGGAAAGAGGGAAGAGGAAGAAAAAACACAACAAGACCCGGCAACACAAUGGGCCUCUAGUGCUGGUCUGUCUACUGAAAUGGUGCCUGGCUGAUGACUGGGAGGGAUCAGGGCAUGUCUGUGGGAUUUGCCUUUCAUGGGGCCUUGAAUGACCCGAGAGAGACUGGAUGUGGCUCUCUCUUGGGCUCCAAGGGGAAAUUUGAGAUAUGUCCCCCUCUACUUUCUCCUUUUACAACUCCUGACUUUAAAAAACAAUUACUGCUCUAUUCACAACGGUAAGAUUACAGGUGUUUCUGUUUGAUUUCCUUCUCAGUCCCCCUCUCCCAGAGUAUUGUCCUACAUUUUCACCUGCUCCCACUGCCAUACAACAUUUCCUGCUCUCACAACAUUUGCAUCAAGUAAUGUUUGCUUUGCUUGUUUCAGAGCAAAACCUUUUCUUUAUGCUUGUUCUGACAUCAAUGGAGGUUAUGUAUUUUGAACAUUAAUUCAUUUUUAAAUAUAUAUUUCUUUCACCUUUAUUUAACUAGGCAAGUCAUUCAAGAAGAAAUUCUUAUUUACAAUGACGGCCUGCCGGGGAACAGUGGGUUAACUGCCUUGUUCAGGGGCAGAUUUUUACCUUGUUAGCUCAGGGGAUUUGGUCCAGCAACCUUUUGAUUACUGGCUCAAACGCUCUAUCCACUAGGCUACCUGCCGCCCCAAAAGAAAGAAAUCAAACAAUAUUUUACUUGUAGACUGUCAAACAUCUACUACUGAAAGUAAUGUUACUUCACAUGAAAGGGCGAAUGUAAUCGGACAAUAUGUAUAUGGUAAAAUAACACAAUACCAAUUUUGAAAUGCUAUGAUAGUGUAUUUACCAGUGCAGCAACAGUGUGAUUUGUGCACAGUGCAUAAAGUUUGUACAUAUAGGUACUUAGGCUUGCCAUAACAAAGUGGUUGAAUAGUUAUUGACUCAAGACAUUUCAGCUUUUAAUUCCACUUUGACAUUAUACAAUAUUGUGUUUAGAUCAGUGACACCAAACCUCAAUUUAAUCAAAUUCAGGCUACAACAACACAACAAAAUGUGUAAAAAGCAAAGGGUUUUGAAUACUUUCUGAAUGCACUGUAGCUGUUGUGUAAUGUAUAAUGUUUGCCAUGAAAUGUCAACGAGGGCAUUCUACAACGUUGGUGGGAGUUUGCCAAUGUGGCAAUGGUAAAGAAAUAAUAUAGUUAACUGUAUUGUGGUUCAACAGUCAUAAUCUAGUAUGACUAAGAUUGCAAAGGCAGGGUAUAUUACUGGAAACUUUCACAUUUACCAGUAAACUGCCAGAAUGUUGGGUUCUUUCAAGGAUGUUAUGUAAUCUAUUGCAAGACGUGUAGUGGCCCAUUUGGGUACUUCAGAUGUCUGUAAUCAUCUCUGACCCUCUGUGUGGCUUUAUCACAUGUAAAAUAUAUGAAAUAAUGAAAUAAGAGAUUUAAAAAAUAAAUAAUUCAGUGACAAAGCUGUAAAACAUGAUCUUAAAUAUAAACCAUCAACUUAGUUAACACCAUUGGUGUUUAAUAUGAGGGUUUCAGCAUGAAAUAUUCUUAAGAUUUUUUUUUUUACACACUUUGAUUUAUUUGACUGUGUCAUUAUGUAUUUGUUGUCAAUGUUUGAGCUUCAAAUUGGUGGCAAUUGUUAGUAUAUGGAAGACAGUCAAUAGUUAGAAGAAUUGCAUUAAAAAUAAUGCCAUUGAAAAUACUGCCAUUGUUGAUCAGAUGCUUAUUAUUAAUCGGGCGAUUUUCUCUUGAAACAUAUGGCCUAUUUAUUAGAAACUCAUGGACAGCGUGGCCACAGAUAUAUAUAAAAAAUGAAUGCUAUAUAUGAAUACAUUUUUUAAAAAGUUAUUCAAGUAUAAAUUACCAACGUUACGAUAGAUUGUCAUAGAUGUUCUGUUCAUUACCAAAAUUCCUUAAGAUUCCAGUAACUUCAGUAAAUUACCGGUGGCUUUGCAACCCUAACUAUGACAUACUCUGAUAAAUCUAGACAUGACAGUAAUCUGAUUUCUGAAGUCAGUGCAGUUUUUCUGAUAUUCCUGUCACUGUGGUACUCUAGAAUACUAAAUGAUUGACAUCAUACUUUAGCGGUUUGAUGCAGCUGAAGCUUGACUUUGCGAUGGCCCAGUGCCAUAUUUUUGAAAACUAACAGCGCAGAUCGCGUAACGUCAAGGAACUUUUGUAAAACCGCAGCCUCUUAAAUGAUAGUUUAGGUUCUUGGAUCAUAAAAAGGAACGGUUUUGUAGCGUUUGGAUAAUUAUUAACAGUGACUUAGUCUACUGAUGUUGUUGCACAAUUAUUGAAGGGAAACCAUCAAAAAAAUCCGUCAGGGUUGGUAAACACAGCAGUCAGUAAGUGCUUUUCUGGACCAGUAGCCUCCCCUAUUGACACUGUCCGCAUCUGUGUUGCUCUUGUAAAUUAAAUGUUGAUAUUUGGAUGGCCAUCUCCAUCUUACAAGGCAGUUUUGGAUGUCAUAACUCUCUCUAAUACUGCCUGGUAAUGAUGAUGAUGACCCCCUGCAAGCAUCAUAGAGUCAACACACAACACACAAACACAAUCCCGUUUAGCACUGCAUUUUCUUAGUCCUUGAGCCAGUGUGUAGUAAUAUCUUAUGAGUUGCUGGUAGCUUUGAGUAGUAUUCUAAGGGUUGUGUAGACUUAGAUAUGCUCUGAGUUGGAUAUAGAUAGAUAUAGUUAUGUGCUUCUGAUAUUCACUUUCUCUGGCUUCCAGGACACAUCUUACCUGACAGUGCUCGGCUGUACACAGAUGUUCUAACACUGUCUGGUAAUGAUGUUCCCUGAAAGACCUUCAAACAACCACGUCAAUAAUCCCAACAACCAAUAGGGGUGCAACGGCACUGUAGCAUACCUGAAGCAGGAAGCAUUUGCUGUUUGUAAAUAGUUCUUGGUACAUUUUCUGGUCAAUGCUAUAUGUUUAAUAGUGAGGCCCUUGUAUGGCAUUAUCAUAGUUCAGCUGUAGACUCCAAAUCAGGUGAUCUCCAGUUUACAGUACAGCACAUGAAAAUAUGGACGCUGUAGUAGGGUAGUUAUUUUUAAAGGACUACAUAGGUAAAUAAUAAGAUGACGGAACAACUGGCUGGAGGAAGCAACCAGAACAGGUGGCACACACUAGACAGUGAAGGCUGACAGAGAUAGUCCCAUAGGAAAAGAGAUUGACGCUGUCUGUGGUGAACACCUUCUGCCUAACCCCCCUUUUGUGAUAGGUAGUUCCUUCCUACCUCCUGCCUUUUGUGUAGAUUUUCCACCCCACCCAGUAGUUAAAGAAUACCAGUGAAAUUACUGUUGCAGUAGGAGCCACUUCCUCUACCCCUCCCCCAGUCGGAGCUGAGCCUGUGCUUUAGUUGGCUUGUGAUUGGUCCAGCGCUACUGUACCUGCGUGGCAUAUUGUGUAGCUGACACCUGAGAUCUGUGUGAGAAAAAUAAACACAACGAUCUCUAUUGCUCUCCUACUCUCAUGCUCUCUCUCUCUCUCUAUUGUCUUUUAUAACUCUCAACUGAUUUAUAACUCUAAACCAAUUGGCCUGUUUUCUAUUCAACACACUAUUUUUCAAGGAAAAGUGAAGGGAGACGAGGAACUAAGCGGCUCCCACCUGGUACUCUACCCUGCACCUUAGAGACAGCUGUACAUAGAGUCAUUGAAAACUGGUAACAUUAAUGUUUACAUACUGUUUUACCCACUCUAUAUGUAUAUACUGUAUUUUAGUCAUGGAUCAUCCUAUAUAACUACUGUUGUACGCAUCUUUUCUAUUCAUAUGCUGUCUAACACACUACUUUAUAUGCAUACUGUAUACAGUACCAGUCAAAAGUUUAGACACACCUACUCAUGCAAGGGUUUUUCUUUCUAUUUACUAUCUUCUACAUUGUAAAAUAAUAAUGAAGACAUCCAAACUAUGAAAUAACACAUACAGAAUCAUUUAGUAAGCAAAAAAAUGUUAAAGUGUUAUUUGAGAUUUGAGAUUCUUCAAUGUAGCCACUCACAGGUUUGCACACUCUUGGAAUACUCUCAACCAGCUUCAUGACAUAGUCACCUGGAAUGCAUUUCAGUUAACAGGUGUUCCUUGUUAAUUUGUGGAAUUUCUUUACGGCUUAAUGCGUUUGAGACAAUGUUGUGUUGUGACAAGGUAGGGGUGGUAUACAGAAGUUAGCCCUAUUUGGUGAAAGACCAAGUCCAUAUUAUGGCAAGAACAGCUCAAAUAAGCAAAGUAAAACGACAGUCCAUCGUUACUUUAAGACAUGAAGGUCUGUCCAUGCAGAAAAUUUCAAGAACUUUGAAAGUUUCUUCAGGCACAGUCGCAAGUUCAUUAGAGUUCCCAACCUCAGAUUGCAGCCCAAAUAAAUGCUUCACAGAGUUCAAGUAACAGACACAUCUCAACAUCAACUGUUCAGAGGAGACUGCAUGAAUCAGGUCUUCAUGGUGGAAUUGCUGCAAAGAAACCACUACUAAUGGACACCAAUAAUAAUAAGAGACUUGCUUGGGCCAAGGAACAUGAGCAAUGGACUGGUGUAAAUCUGUCCUUUGGUCUGAUGAGUGCAAAUAUGAGAUUUUUGUUUCCAACCACAGUGUCUUUGUGAGACGCAGAGUAGGUGAACAGAUGAUCUCUGCAUGUGUGGUUCCCACCGUGAAGCAUGGAGCAGGAGGUGUGGGGGUCUUUGCUGGUGACACUGUCAGUGAUUUAUUUAGAACUCAAGGCACACUUAACCAGCAUGGCUGAAGCUGGCUGAGAGAAUGCCAAGAGUGUGCAAAGCUGUCAUCAAGGCAAAGGGUGGCUACUACUUGAAUAAUCUAAAAUCUAAAAUACUUUUUUUGGUUACUACAUGAUUUCAUGUCUGUUAUUUCCUAGUUUUGAUGUCUUCACUAUUAUUCUACAAUGUAGAAGAUAUAUAAAAAUAAAGAAAAACCUUUGAAUGAGUAGGUGUGUCCAAACUUUUGACUGGUACUGUAUAUAUUUAUAUUCCAGUCUUUGACAUAGAAACUUCUGAUAUUUUUUAAUUUUUUUUUUCUUCUGGAUAACGUGUAUAUUGUUUUGUUAUUUUGCAUUCUGCUGCAUCUACAAUCAUUUCUGCAAAUCUGUGUAUGCGGCCAAUAAACUUUGAUUUGAAAAUGUAUGCACAGAUGACUGUAAUUCGCUUUGGAUAAAAGAGUCUGCUCGAUGGCAUAUUUUAUUAUAUUAUAAUUUGAAUCAUUUUAUCAGACUGUGUGUUCUCAAACAAUAGGUUGACUGUACAAGUCAAUGGACAACAGAGAUAAAAGCAUACAGUGAUUGAGGUGUUUCAAAGGUGAUGUUUGUCUAGGGCGGUACUUCUGAGUUCUGGUUUAACACACAGAUAUCGAAUCACCCCUUUGCGUACUCAUUCUGUUCUCUGAAAUUGUAGGCCAAAUACAUAAUUCAUUUGCAUGUCCUUUUAAAGUUCAAAUUAUUGAAAGAUUGUGUCAUCUUGCCUUUUGACAUGUUUUGCUCCACUGAUAAACUAUUAACUCUGAUAGAUUUUUUACAUUUUUCACCACUGGUAUCUUGAUGAUGUAUUUCUAUAAACUAUUCCAAUUCUCCAACAUUUCUGUCUUCUGUCUUCACAGCUUGUCUGUCAUCAAGCUGCUGUAGCUACAAAGACCCUGGCUCCUUUCCUCUGAUGCUCCUACCUAAACCUUGUAAUUGUCGUCUUACCAGACAAGUUUAGAUCUAGCUACUCUGUCUAAUACUGUCUGGUAAUGCCGUCCAUUACAAGGUGUCUCAUCGCUCUUUCUCUGUCAGUCUCUUGGACCAUCCUGUACAAAUGAACUGGUAUCGGGUCAUGUGAUGUUUUUUCACCCCUCAAUGAUUUCUCCAAUUACUGGCUUAGAACGUUUAAUUGCAGGUCAAUUUUUUGGGUGAAAUGAUGUAUUUGUAUGUAAAAUAUCUUGAACAGAUAUUUGCUAACAGUAUUUUGUUGAUUAUGUUAAUAAAGGUCAUCAACGUUC